GAUGAACGCUGGCGGCGUGCUUAACACAUGCAAGUCGAACGGGAAUUACUUUAUUGCAACUUCGGUCGAUUUAAUUUAAUUCUAGUGGCGGACGGGUGAGUAACGCGUGGGUAACCUGCCUUAUACAGGGGGAUAACAGUCAGAAAUGGCUGCUAAUACCGCAUAAGCGCACAGAGCUGCAUGGCUCGGUGUGAAAAACUCCGGUGGUAUAAGAUGGACCCGCGUUGGAUUAGCUUGUUGGUGGGGUAACGGCCCACCAAGGCGACGAUCCAUAGCCGGCCUGAGAGGGUGAACGGCCACAUUGGGACUGAGACACGGCCCAGACUCCUACGGGAGGCAGCAGUGGGGAAUAUUGCACAAUGGGGGAAACCCUGAUGCAGCGACGCCGCGUGAAGGAAGAAGUAUCUCGGUAUGUAAACUUCUAUCAGCAGGGAAGAUAGUGACGGUACCUGACUAAGAAGCCCCGGCUAACUACGUG
RNAcentral lists this ribosomal RNA (478 nucleotides) under uncultured bacterium. RNAcentral describes it as "partial 16S ribosomal RNA". It matches the Rfam family "Bacterial small subunit ribosomal RNA", at positions 28 to 507 of the family's 1533-position model. The record is from RNAcentral.